Molecule: ribosomal RNA, 406 nt
Filed under: uncultured bacterium
Lineage: Bacteria
Description: partial 16S ribosomal RNA
Rfam family: Bacterial small subunit ribosomal RNA
Source: RNAcentral
AUUGAACGCUGGCGGCAGGCCUAACAAAUGCAAGUAGAACGAGUGGCGGACGGGUAAGUAAUGUCUGGGAAACUGCAGGAUGGAGGGGGAUAACUACUGGAAACGGUAGCUAAUACAGCAUACCAUCGGAUGUUCACAUAUGGGCUUAGCUAGUAGGUGGGGUAAAGGUUAACCUAGGAGACGAGCCCUAGCUGGUCUGAGAGGAUGACCAGCCACACUGGAACUGAGACACGGUCCAGACGCCUACGGGAGGCAGCAGUGGGGAUGAUUGCACAAGGGGAGCAAGCCUGAUGCAGCCAUGCCGCGUGUAUGAAGAAGGCCUUCGGGUUGUAAAGUACUUUCAGCGGGGAGGCGUUACCCGCAGAAGAAGCACCGGCUAACUCCGUGCCAGCAGCCGCGGUAAUAC